AUAAUUAGGAUUAAUUUUUCUCGAAUUAAAAAGUUUUAAUUAAAUAUUAAUAUAAUUUUUUCAUAAAUUUUUAUAAUUUUUAAUUAGAAAUGAAAUGUUAUUCGUUUUUUAUUAUAUCUAGUUUUUUAAGAAAAAAAUUUAAUUUUAUUAUUAUUAAUUUAUUAAUUAAUUUUUAGUUAAUAAUUUUUAGUAUUUAAUAUAUAAAGGGUUGAGCUUUUAUAUAAAUUAUUAAAAAUUUAAUUUUUAUAAUUUUUGUAUAAUUUAAAUUGUUAAUCAUUUUAAUAAUUUAAUAAUUAGUUUUAUUUAAUUAUAAUAUUUAUAUAUUUUUUAAUUUUUUUAUUAAAAAAAAAAGUUUAAUUUAAUUUCUUUUUAUAUUAUGAUUAAAUUAGUAGAUUUUAUGUUUAUUAAAAAUUUAAAUAUAGGUAGUAAAGAGGAAUUCGGCAAAUAUAUUUUUCGCCUGUUUAUUAAAAACAUCUCUUUUUGAUAAUAAUUUAAAGUUUAAUCUGCUCAAUGAAAAUUAAAUUGCCGCAGUAUUUUGACUGUGCAAAGGUAGCAUAAUAAUUAGUUUUUUAAUUGGAAACUGGAAUGAAUGAUUGGACGAGAAAAUUUCUGUCUUUUUAUUAUUUUUAUUGAAUUUUACUUUUAAGUUAAAAGGCUUAAAUUUUUUUAAAAGACGAGAAGACCCUAUAGAGUUUAAUUUUUAAUUUAUUUAUUAUUAUUAGAAUUUAAUUUAAUAAUUAAUUUAAUAAUUUGGUUGGGGUGACUGUUUGAUAAAUUUAACUCUUUUAAUUUGAAAUCAAUUAUUUUUGAUUAUAAAAUCUAUAUUUUUAAUUUUAAAAUAAGUUACCUUAGGGAUAACAGCGUAAUUUUUCUUUAAAGUUCUUAUUAAA
This 890-nucleotide ribosomal RNA is filed under the name Curtos costipennis. Its description in RNAcentral is "partial 16S rRNA". Lineage: Eukaryota; Metazoa; Arthropoda; Insecta; Coleoptera; Lampyridae. The record is from RNAcentral.